GGGGGGUUAUUUUGCUAGUUGUAGUGUUAUGCUCUCCAGGACUAGGGGGGGUUAUUUUGCUAGUUGUAGUGUUAUGCUCUCCAGGACUAGGGGGGGUUAUUUUGCUAGUUGUAGUGUUAUGCUCUCCAGGACUAGGGGGGUUAUUUUGCUAGUUGUAGUGUUAUGCUCUCCAGGACUAGGGUUAGUUGUGUUGCUAGUUGUAGUGUUAUGGUCUCCAGGACUAGGGGUGGUUGUGUUGCUAGUUGUAGUGUUAUGCUCUCCAGGACUAGGGGUGGUUGUGUUGCUAGUUGUAGUGUUAUGCUCUCCAGGACUAGGGGUGGUUGUGUUGCUAGUUGUAGUGUUUUUGUCAGGACUAGUGGUGGUGGUUGUGAGGGUAUGACUACUUGUGAUGUUGCCAGAUGAAGUAAUUGCUGUAGAUGUAGUUGCAUCCCCAGCCCAUCCUGAACGGCUAGCCGUACUAUCUAAGGCAGCUACGGUUGCUGUGGUACGUGCCACAAGAGGUAGUGUGGCUUUUAUUGGAAGUUGACCU
This 529-nucleotide long non-coding RNA is filed under the name Salmo salar (Atlantic salmon). RNAcentral's name for it is "lncRNA (ENSSSAG00000101485.1)". Lineage: Eukaryota; Metazoa; Chordata; Actinopteri; Salmoniformes; Salmonidae. The record is from RNAcentral.